AUUUGAUGCUGUGGGCAUCUAGUGCACAAUUUAUUGAACUUUUCCCAUUAAUCAUAUAGAGAUUCUCCAGGAUACUGUUUAAUGCUACAUAUCUCUUUUCUUAGACU
Molecule: small nucleolar RNA, 107 nt
Organism: Coffea arabica (coffee)
Lineage: Eukaryota; Viridiplantae; Streptophyta; Magnoliopsida; Gentianales; Rubiaceae
Source: RefSeq, a predicted model, not a curated record